Molecule: long non-coding RNA, 1053 nt
Filed under: Homo sapiens (human)
Lineage: Eukaryota; Metazoa; Chordata; Mammalia; Primates; Hominidae
Description: HSALNT0051495
Source: RNAcentral
GCAACUGCUCAAGCUCCACUCCAGACCUACUGAUUCUGCAACUGUGGAGCUGAACCAGUGACCUAUGUUUUAAUAAGCCUUCCAGGUAAUGUUAAUACUUGCUCAUGUUAGAGAAUCACUGGUUUAGAGAAAACUAGUAAUUGUUCCAUAAAUUUAGUUUAAAGAAGGAGAAAGAAGCCUGUCCUUUAGCCAAGUUUAAAAAAAAAAAGGCUGAUUACAGAGGAAAUUUUGAGAGCAUCUAAGGUUAAAAAAAAAAAAGUUUAGCUUGGCUGGAGGCCUGGCAGAACAGUCGUUGUGGAGAAACCAGUGCUUCACAGAGAGAACCGCAAACACUAAACUGGAUAGCUGCUGUCUGCCACUCAGGAGCAAGUGCAGACUAGAGACUUAUGGAGGUCUCCAGUAUCCUUCUCUGAGAUACCAAUCCUUAACCCAAGAAAUCCAAGGCCAAUAGCUAAGUAUAAAAGUUAUUCUCUGAGAGUGAGAAUACCUAGAUUAGGGAUAAUGGAUAAUAAAGCUGUAUGAGGCCAGGCGUGGUGGCGGGCACAGUGGCUCAUGCCUGUAAUCCUAGCACUUUGGGAGGCCAGGGUGGGCAGAUCACCUGAGGUCAGGAGUUUUGAGACCAGCCUGGCUAAGAAGGUGAAACCGUUCCUACUCAAAAUACAGAAAUUAUCCAGGCAUGGUGCGUGACUGUAGUCCCAGCUACUCAGGAGGCUGAGACAGGAGAGUCCCGUGAAUCGGGGAGGUGGAGGUUGCAGUGAGCCGAGAUCGCCCUACUGCACUCCAGCCUGGGAGACGGAACCAGACUCCGUCUCAAAAAAAAAAAAAAAAAAAAAAUCUGUAUGAUACAAUUUUUGCAAAAACUUGUGUCUAUUUCUUUUAACUUUUUAAAAUGUGGCUACUAGAAAAUGUAACCUAUGUAGCUCACAUUCGUGACCUGUAUUAUAUUUCUUUUCACACUGAUCUGUAAGGCACAUAUAAAAUGGAGGGUGGGUAGGAGAAAAAAACUGACCAUUUUUCCUCCAGGUCUGAACAGGGCAGUGGGUGUUCAGAACC